This is an RNA transcript of Cornus florida, 3598 nucleotides long. RefSeq lists it as uncharacterized. NCBI's taxonomy places the organism in Eukaryota, Viridiplantae, Streptophyta, Magnoliopsida, Cornales, Cornaceae. The record is from RefSeq and is a predicted model, not a curated record. The transcript is spliced from 15 exons.
AGUUAAUGUUUUGCCAACUUUCCCACACGACACCGUUAGGCGACAUUUGAUUCAAUAAUCUGCAAUUCCAAUUGUUUCUCCAAGCAAUCUUCAACAGCAAUGGCCAUGGAAGACGACGACGAGACGAAGAGAAGCAGAGAAGUGGAGACAACAAUCCUCGAGAAGGUGGGUGACGUCAUCGCCUCCAUCAACGACGUCAAACACGUCGACCAAGUCAUCGUCGCCCUCCACUCUCUCGCUCUUCUUCUCUUCCCUCUGGAUUCCCACUCUCUCUCAGGUAGCAUCGAUCGGCAAUAUAGAGACCAGGUUCUUAGUGCCAAAGUCCCUUCCGAAGAGGAGAGGAGUUAUUGGCGUCAGGUUUUCUACCGUGGAGCUGCAUUUCCUGCAUUGUCUAGGGUUUUGUUACAGGAUGUUGCUUCCAAUUGGCUAACUUGUUUCCCCUUUUCCGCAAAGAAACAUGUAUAUGACGUGUUCUUUGUGAAUGGGCAUGCCACUGAGGUUGUUCAGACUGUAGUUCCUUUUCUGCAACAGAAUGGAAGUGUUAGUCUGGAUACUAAUGCUGUUUGCUCAAAUGCUGAGAGAUUACUUGUACUUCACUUGAUUGAAAAUAAUGGGGUACUCCAGAUGGCUAGAGAAUUCGGUGGUGCUUGUCAAUCUCAAGAUCUUAACAAUGAACAGCUCAAGCAAGCUGUCUCUAGGAUGGCACAGCUUGUUACGUCCGUUCCUGACAAAGCACGAUUGAGAGCCCUAGAUUCACUUUCACCACAUUUGUUCUUCAAGCAGAUUACUGUGCAACUUCUUGCUGGAGCAGAAGAAUGGGAUAUGAGUCUAGGUGAUAGAGCAGACAUCUUCAAUGAAAAUGAUAUGGACGGUACCAUCCUAUUCGUUGGAGAAUCAUUUGCUCGCAUUUGUCGGCGAGGGUCUGCAGAUGUGCUCUUGAGUGAAGUGAUUCCACAAAUUCUUAAUCAUGUCCGGAGCGUUUUGUCAUCAAAUAAUGAUGUGUCUGUUGGCGAAUUUUUCGAGUCAAAGUCUGGUUCCCGGUUCUGGUUGAAGAUGAUAGAGGCAAUUAAAGACCCCUAUGCUGUAGAAAGAAUCUCCGAACAACUUUUGCAUAAAUUGGCAGCUCAACAUGCAAGUGAUGUUGAAGCUUAUUGGAUAUUAUGGAUAUUGUUUCAUCGGUUGUACGAGUCCCAAAUAUCAGUCAGGGCCAUGUUGGUUGAAAAGUUUUUACUCUGGAAAGUAUUUCCUCUCUGUUGCCUGAGAUGGAUCCUUCAAUUUGCUGUUCUUGAAUGCCCCCCUGAUGCUACUUCGCAGAGAAAAUGUCACAAUACUCGUAGUCUUGUAGACGCAGUGCAGCGUCUUGUAGCAGCAUGGUCUAAACUAGAGUUUGUGCAAUCAGCCUCAAUGGAGCAGCAGGCUUAUAUAACUGCAGCGGUAGGACUCUCCCUGGAGAAGAUGUCAAAAGAAGAUUUAGAUGCAACUAAGGAUGUGAUGCACUCAAUUCUUCGAGGAGUCAGUUGUAGGCUGGAGAGCCCUGCCCAUUUGGUUCGAAGAAUGGCCAGCAGUAUUGCUUUAGUCUUUUCCAAAGUGAUUGACCCAAAAAUUCCGCUGUUUCUUGAUGAUAGCUGUACUGGGGAGACCAUUGACUGGGAAUUUGGCUUAGCAACCACGGAGAAGGGUACUCUGGGUACCACAAACAGCAGUGAAGAGAAUAAUAAUAAAGUAAAAGCAUGUACUUCCAUGUUGCCGGAAAAUGAAAGUACCCACAAUGAGAUGGCCAAUAAUGUGAAAGGUAAAAAGAAGAGAUUAUCAGCAUUUAAGUUGGUUGAUCCUGAUGAGAUUAUUGAUCCAGCUACACUGAAUCAUGAGGCCGUUUCUGGUGAAGAUAAUGAGGAUGAUGAUGCAAGUGAAAUUUCUGAAACCUCAAGUGAUGCAUCAUUACAGCCAUAUGAUUUAACAGAUGAUGAUACAGAUUUGAAAAAAAAAUUCUCACAGUUGGUUGAUGUGGUGGGAGCACUAAGAAAAUCUGAUGACGCAGAUGGUGUCGAAAGGGCUCUUGAUGUUGCUGAAAACCUUGUGCGUGCGUCGCCUGAUGAACUGAAGUAUUUAACAGGUGAUCUGGUCAGAACACUUGUACAGGUUCGUUGCUCUGAUUCGACUAUUGAGGGAGAAGAAGAAUCAGCUGAAGAAAAGAGGCAGAGGGCGCUUGUGGCAUUGAUUGUCACAUCUCCAUUCGAAUCUCUUGAUAGUUUGAACAAAUUAUUAUAUUCACCUAAUGUAGAUGUGAGCCAACGGAUAAUGAUACUUGACGUCAUGACAGAUGCAGCGCAGGAGCUUGCUUAUGCUAGAACCGUGAAAGAAAAACGUCAGCCAAGAGCCCUCAUAUCAACCACUUCAGAGACUCAACCGUGGUUCAUGCCUAGUAGUGUAGGGCCUCCUGGAGCUGGUUUGUGGAAAGAGAUCCCACGAACAGGAACUCUAUUAAAUUGGUCAAAUUCAUAUGAGAGAGAACUUCCCUCAAAACGGGGUCAGAUCAAAAGAGGAAAGACACGCAGAUGGAGCCUCCAAUCAGCAAAUAUACAAGAAAAGCAGGUGGAAUGGUCCCAAAAUAAGUUUCCUCAAUAUGCAGCAGCAUUUAUGCUUCCUGCCAUGCAGGGAUUUGAUAAGAAAAGGCAUGGUGUUGACUUGCUUGGUAGGGACUUUAUUGUACUGGGGAAACUUAUCUAUAUGCUUGGUGUUUGUAUGAAAUGUGCAGCCAUGCAUCCAGAGGCAUCUGCAUUGGCCCUUCCCCUGAUGGAUAUGUUAAGCUCCAGGGAGAUAUGCCAUCAUGUAGAAGCAUAUGUCAGAAAAUCUGCCCUUUUUGCAGCUUCAUGCAUAUUGGUGGCCCUUCACCCCUCUUAUAUAGCAUCUACUUUGGUUGAAGGAAAUCCUGAAAUUUCUAAAGGACUUGAGUGGGUUCGAACAUGGGCUCUUCAUGUAGCUGAAUCAGACACAGAUAGAGAGUGUUACACGAUGGCUAUGACAUGUCUCCAACUCCAUGCUGAGAUGGCCCUUCAAGCUUCGCGAGCAAUGGAGUCAGUAGAAAGUACGUUCAACAUGAAGAGCAUCGGGCUGCCUUCCAGUUCUUUGAAGGGGACCAUUAAAAUUCCCUUCUCAAACAUGGAAUUCUGAAUUGAUGAUCAUACACCUGGAAAUCGCAUGGUUUCUUUCAUUUGAUAACAUUUACCAGUAUGUUUCAGAGAAGUUGAACGUAUCUAAUAGCUCGAAGUAGUUGCACGUCUUUCAAUCGGUUGCCUGAGGAAUCAGUAGCUCCUUGUUCUAAAUUACAUCAGGAAAAGGAAGAAGGCAUUGAUUUCAAAGACGGAACUUUUUAAUGAAAGAAAAUAGUGGAUCAAAGUUUCUGAAGUUUGCAUCAUUGUAAAUUCGAUGGUAUUUUAGGAAAAUUUGCAGAUUGUUUUAUAUUUCGUUAUGGGUCUUAAAUUAUAAAUCAUUUUGGUGUAAUCUUUUAGAAGUUAAUGUGUAAAAUUUGUGUACUCAGCAGACUAUAUUGGUAAAAAAAAAGAAAAGAAAUGAAGGCUUUAUCAUAUUCAAUUUCAAA